Molecule: ribosomal RNA, 492 nt
Filed under: uncultured bacterium
Lineage: Bacteria
Description: partial 16S ribosomal RNA
Rfam family: Bacterial small subunit ribosomal RNA
Source: RNAcentral
AGUGAACGCUGGCGGUAGGCCUAACACAUGCAAGUCGAACGGCAGCACAGUAAGAGCUUGCUCUUACGGGUGGCGAGUGGCGGACGGGUGAGGAAUACAUCGGAAUCUACUUUCUCGUGGGGGAUAACGUAGGGAAACUUACGCUAAUACCGCAUACGACCUACGGGUGAAAGCAGGGGAUCUUCGGACCUUGCGCGAUUGAAUGAGCCGAUGUCGGAUUAGCUAGUUGGCGGGGUAAAGGCCCACCAAGGCGACGAUCCGUAGCUGGUCUGAGAGGAUGAUCAGCCACACUGGAACUGAGACACGGUCCAGACUCCUACGGGAGGCAGCAGUGGGGAAUAUUGGACAAUGGGCGCAAGCCUGAUCCAGUCAUACCGCGUGGGUGAAGAAGGCCUUCGGGUUGUAAAGCCCUUUUGUUGGGAAAGAAAAGCAGCAGGUUAAUACCCCGCUGUUCUGACGGUACCCAAAGAAUAAGCACCGGCUAACUUCGUG